GACGAACGCUGGCGGCGUGCUUAACACGUGCAAGUCGAACGGAAAGGCCCUGCUUUUGUGGGGUGCUCGAGUGGCGAACGGGUGAGUAACACGUGAGUAACCUGCCCUUGACUUUGGGAUAACUUCAGGAAACUGGGGCUAAUACCGGAUAGGAGCUCCUGCUGCAUGGUGGGGGUUGGAAAGUUUCGGCGGUUGGGGAUGGACUCGCGGCUUAUCAGCUUGUUGGUGGGGUAGUGGCUUACCAAGGCUUUGACGGGUAGCCGGCCUGAGAGGGUGACCGGCCACAUUGGGACUGAGAUACGGCCCAGACUCCUACGGGAGGGAGCAGUGGGGAAUAUUGCACAAUGGGCGGAAGCCUGAUGCAGCAACGCCGCGUGCGGGAUGACGGCCUUCGGGUUGUAAACCGCUUUCGCCUGUGACGAAGCGUGAGUGACGGUAAUGGGUAAAGAAGCACCGGCUAACUACGUG
RNAcentral lists this ribosomal RNA (468 nucleotides) under uncultured bacterium. RNAcentral's name for it is "partial 16S ribosomal RNA". It matches the Rfam family "Bacterial small subunit ribosomal RNA", at positions 28 to 507 of the family's 1533-position model. The record is from RNAcentral.